Molecule: ribosomal RNA, 491 nt
Filed under: uncultured bacterium
Lineage: Bacteria
Description: partial 16S ribosomal RNA
Rfam family: Bacterial small subunit ribosomal RNA
Source: RNAcentral
AGUGAACGCUGGCGGUGGGCCUAACACAUGCAAGUCGAACGGCAGCACAGUAAGAGCUUGCUCUUACGGGUGGCGAGUGGCGGACGGGUGAGGAAUACAUCGGAAUCUACUUUUUCGUGGGGGAUAACGUAGGGAAACUUACGCUAAUACCGCAUACGACCUACGGGUGAAAGCAGGGGAUCUUCGGACCUUGCGCGAUUGAAUGAGCCGAUGUCGGACUAGCUAGUUGGCGGGGUAAAGGCCCACCAAGGCGACGAUCCGUAGCUGGUCUGAGAGGAUGAUCAGCCACACUGGAACUGAGACACGGUCCAGUCUCCUACGGGAGGCAGCAGUGGGGAAUAUUGGACAAUGGGCGCAAGCCUGAUCCAGCCAUACCGCGUGGGUGAAGAAGGCCUGCGGGUUGUAAAGCCCUUUUGUUGGGAAAGAAAGGCAGCAGGUUAAUACCCCGCUGUUCUGACGGUACCCAAAGAAUAAGCACCGGCUAACUUCGU